GUGCGAAUGCUGACAUAAGUAACGAUAAAGCGGGUGAAAAGCCCGCUCGCCGGAAGACCAAGGGUUCCUGUCCAACGUUAAUCGGGGCAGGGUGAGUCGACCCCUAAGGCGAGGCCGAAAGGCGUAGUCGAUGGGAAACGGGUUAAUAUUCCCGUACUUGGUGUUACUGCGAAGGGGGGACGGAGAAGGCUAUGUUGGCCGGGCGACGGUUGUCCCGGUUUAAGCGUGUAGGUGUGUGUUCCAGGUAAAUCCGGUUCACUUUAACACUGAGGCGUGACGACGAGGCACUACGGUGCUGAAGCAACAAAUGCCCUGCUUCCAGGAAAAGCCUCUAAGCAUCAGGUAACAUCAAAUCGUACCCCAAACCGACACAGGUGGUCAGGUAGAGAAUACCAAGGCGCUUGAGAGAACUCGGGUGAAGGAACUAGGCAAAAUGGUGCCGUAACU
RNAcentral lists this ribosomal RNA (447 nucleotides) under Salmonella enterica subsp. enterica serovar Virchow. RNAcentral's name for it is "partial 23S ribosomal RNA". It matches the Rfam family "Bacterial large subunit ribosomal RNA", at positions 1288 to 1735 of the family's 2925-position model. The record is from RNAcentral. Lineage: Bacteria; Pseudomonadati; Pseudomonadota; Gammaproteobacteria; Enterobacterales; Enterobacteriaceae.